RNAcentral lists this ribosomal RNA (468 nucleotides) under uncultured bacterium. RNAcentral describes it as "partial 16S ribosomal RNA". It matches the Rfam family "Bacterial small subunit ribosomal RNA", at positions 28 to 507 of the family's 1533-position model. The record is from RNAcentral.
GACGAACGCUGGCGGCGUGCUUAACACAUGCAAGUCGAACGGAAAGGCCCUGCUUUUGUGGGGUGCUCGAGUGGCGAACGGGUGAGUAACACGUGAGUAACCUGCCCUUGACUUUGGGAUAACUUCAGGAAACUGGGGCUAAUACCGGAUAGGAGCUCCUGCUGCAUGGUGGGGGUUGGAAAGUUUCGGCGGGUGGGGAUGGACUCGCGGCUUAUCAGCUUGUUGGUGGGGUAGUGGCUUACCAAGGCUUUGACGGGUAGCCGGCCUGAGAGGGUGACCGGCCACAUUGGGACUGAGCUACGGCCCAGACUCCUACGGGAGGCAGCAGUGGGGAAUAUUGCACAAUGGGCGGAAGCCUGAUGCAGCAACGCCGCGUGCGGGAUGACGGCCUUCGGGUUGUAAACCGCUUUCGCCUGUGACGAAGCGUGAGUGACGGUAAUGGGUAAAGAAGCACCGGCUAACUACGUG